GACAUGCAGAGAACUUUCCAGAGAUGGAUUGGUGCCUUCGGGAACUCUGACACAGGUGCUGCAUGGCUGUCGUCAGCUCGUGUCGUGAGAUGUUGGGUUAAGUCCGUAACGAGCGCAACCCUUGUCCUUAGUUACCAGCACGUUAUGGUGGGCACUCUAAGGAGACUGCCGGUGACAAACCGGAGGAGGGUGGGGGAUGACGUCAAGUCAUCAUGGCCCUUACGGCCUGGGCUACACACGUGCUACAAUGGUCGGUACAAAGGGUUGCCAAGCCGCGAGGUGGAGCUAAUCCCAUAAAACCGAUCGUAGUCCGGAUCGCAGUCUGCAACUCGACUGCGUGAAGUCGGAAUCGCUAGUAAUCGUGAAUCAGAAUGCCACGGUGAAUACGUUCCCGGGCCUU
RNAcentral lists this ribosomal RNA (400 nucleotides) under uncultured Pseudomonas sp. RNAcentral describes it as "bacterial SSU rRNA". It matches the Rfam family "Bacterial small subunit ribosomal RNA", at positions 983 to 1382 of the family's 1533-position model. Lineage: Bacteria; Pseudomonadati; Pseudomonadota; Gammaproteobacteria; Pseudomonadales; Pseudomonadaceae. The record is from RNAcentral.